CAGCAGCCGCGGUAAGACGAACCGUGCGAACGUUAUUCGGAAUUACUGGGCUUAAAGCGCGUGUAGGCGGGCCGCCACGUCGGUCGCUGAAAGCCCCCGGCUCAACCGGGGAGGGUCAUUGGAAACUGGGAAACUUGAGUGCAGAAGCGGAGAGUGGAAUUCCACGUGUAGCGGUGAAAUGCGUAGAGAUGUGGAGGAACACCAGUGGCGAAGGCGACUCUCUGGUCUGUAACUGACGCUGAGGAGCGAAAGCGUGGGGAGCGAACAGGAUUAGAUACCCCGGUAGUCCCUGUCUCUUAUA
Molecule: ribosomal RNA, 301 nt
Filed under: uncultured bacterium
Lineage: Bacteria
Description: partial 16S ribosomal RNA
Rfam family: Bacterial small subunit ribosomal RNA
Source: RNAcentral